AUGGAAGCUGCGGUUGGCACCAUGGCCGGUAAGACCGUGCCUAAGCUCUUCGAUUUGUUAGAAACAAAUCACAAGCUACGUCGGGAGCUGGAGCAUGACAUCGAGUACAUCAAAAAUGAGUUUGCGAUGAUUUCCGCCGCCGUUGAGGAGGAUGGUGAUCACCCCCCAUGGAGUGGCAACCAGGUGCAUAAGGCCUGGAUCAAGAUGGCGCGCCAACUAGCGCACGAUAUUGAGGACUGCCUCGACCGCUUCAUGCAUCGCAUGGCGCUCGACCCCAGUGCAUCGUGGAUUCAUCGGCGAUACCACCGGGUGAAGACGGUGAGAGCCCGUAACAAAUUUGCCGCAGCCAUCCGGCGUCUCAGGAAGAGAUCAGAGGAUGCAUCCAAGCAGAGAACAAGCUACACCACCAACUAUGGCACCUUGGAGUCAGCAGGGGCAUUUGAUGAUGAGACGGACACCUCCAUGCCCAUGGUCACCGUGGGUAUGGACAUGCCCCAGGAUGAGCUCAUGGAGCUGAUAAGGGAAGACCAACAACACGAGGAGAACAAGCUCAAGGUGAUCUCCCUUGUCGGAUUCGGUGGUAUAGGCAAGACUCUCCUUGCCAAGCAUUUGUACGACACAACUGAGAGUGAAUACGAAGCACGGGCUUGGGUUUGUGCUGCGGAGAAAGGCUCGUGGGAUGUUCUCAAGGAGAUACUCCGGCAACUUAGAAUACAUUCCACCAUUACUAGUAGUAGUGGAAGUGCAGGCAACCCCUGCCGUCUCAGCAAUACCAAGCUCUGUGCAAGCCUCAGAGAGUGCCUUGGGACCAAGAGGUUUUCCAUUGUAAUCGAUGACAUGCGGAGAGACUUUUGGGUUGAUAUAAAAGAUGCUUUCCCUGUGGUUCCGGGCGUCAACAGUAGAAUUAUUGUCACGACGGCCUCUCGCACCAUAGCAAUCAAAAGCAGUUGUCAUGAUGGUCAUGUGUACAUAAUGAGAACACUCACUGAGCAACACUCAAAACAAUUGUUCUGUGAGAAAGCUUCUCUGGUGUAUCCGCCAACAGUCCAAGAUACGGAACUGAGUUCAGAAGUAAUAAAAAAAUGUGAUGGUCUGCCCCUUGCUCUUGUUACCACAGCACGGUUGUUGCACGGUGAUCACAGACAGCGACAAUGGGCAGACCUGGGAAAUAACCUUGGCAGCCAUCUUGAGACACAUCAUAUGUUAGCAAAUAUGAAGCGUGUGCUUGUCCGUAGCUUCACUAGCCUAAGUAAGCAAGAUAUCAAGACAUGUUUGCUUUAUCUGGGUAUUUACCCAAGUGGUCGCCCAAUCAGGAGAGGAAGCCUGAUAAGGCGGUGGUCAGCCGAAGGUUUCAUCACAACAGAGCCUAAACGCAGUGCCCUUGAGGUUGCUCUUGCAAAUUUCAAUGAGCUGGUCGACCAGAGCAUCAUCCAGCCUAUUGAUGCCAGCAGCAGCAGCAGUGCAGAGGUGAAGACAUGCAAAACACAUGGCAUAAUGCUCGAGUUCAUCCUGCACAGAUCCAUGUCUGAGAACUUUGUUACCUUGUUAUAUGAUAAGGAUCCCCCACCCGGGAGUAAAAUUCGUUGGCUUUCUCUGCAGCAUAAAACUGAUGCAAGAUCCAAAAUGGAUCCAAAGGAUCUAAGCCUUGUCCGUUCUCUCACGAUCUUCGGUGAGGCGCACAAUUCAGUGUUGGACUUCUCCAAGUAUAAACUGAUUAGAGUUUUGGAUUUAGAAGAGUGCGAUGAACACUUGGGAGACAAGCAUCUCAAGGAGAUAUGCAACAACAUGUCACUGCUCAGGUACCUAAGCCUCAGAGGCGCUGCUAGAGUUACGGUUCUUCCAAAACAGAUCAAGAAGCUUCAACUUUUGGAAACACUAGAUUUAAGAGGAACCAGUAUAGAGAUUCUUCCCAUACAAGUCAUGAAACUUCCAUCCUUAAUUCAUUUGUUUGGAAAGUUCAAGUUCCAACAAAAUGUAGGAAGCCGGAGAAUGAGUAAGCUACAGACUUGGCUGUCGGAGAAAAGUAAACUGGAAACUCUAGCCGGAUUUGAUGUGCACAACAAUUGCCAAAGAUUCACACAGAUCAUGGAGCAUAUGAAGCACCUGACCAAGGUGAAAAUAUUGUGCGAGUUCACUGCACAUGACAGCAGCAACUCAAUACAUCUCUCAAAGUCCAUCAAGGAGUUCAUCCAGAGAGGCACCAAUCUGAACGAAGCUCGUGCACUCUCGCUGACCAUCAACAAUGAACGUUCUCCAGACUUGCUGGAUUUCUCCCUAGAAAAGGAUUACUCCUACUACCUUAGCUCACUCAAGCUACAAGGGAGCAGAAAAUGCAGCCAGCUGCCUCUGUUUGUUACCAUGCUGGGUGGUCUCACUAAGCUGUGCCUGUCAUUCCCUGGUGAUCAUAAGCUGAGUGGUAACAUUCUUAAUGUGCUGAGCAAAGUGCGUGGCCUUGAGUACCUGAAGCUGAUUGCAACUCAACUGGAUAAGCUCGUCAUCGAGCAAGGCCAUGCACUCCAAAGCCUGCUACGAUUAUGCAUCGUGGUGGAAGUCGUAACUGAGCUGGAAAUACAAGAGGGAGCUCUGCCUCGCCUCGAGUUGAUCCAGCUGCUAUGUAAAGAUCUAAAUGGCAUUAGUGACACAAUCCAGUCACUACCACGUCUUAAGGAGGUCGCCCUCCAUGAUGGAGUGAGCGAUGAAGCAAAACAGGAGUGGAAAGGAGCGGCAAAGAGUCACCCUAGACGUCCCAAGCUCUUGUUUGUUGAGACAAAGCUGAUGGCAAGUGAGCCUGCUCCGAACACUAUUUCUGCAGAAACAGCUACUCAUACAAUGGUCAAAGAGGUUGAUGCGGAGAGUGAACCUGCGACACCACCUACUGGUAUGAAGUUAUCGGUGAUAGCGCCGCCCAAUGUGAUUUCCACUCAAGAGACUGCACAAGUUGUUACUUCUGAAAUGGUUGAUCAUCAGGAACUGAUGGGAGGUGAACCUGCUGCAGAAAUUAUCCCUGUGGCAACAGCCACUGAUAUGAUGGCUGAAAAGGAUGAUGUGGAAGUACAACUUGAUGGUGGUGAUCAACAUGAUGCUGAUGGGAAAGAUCUGGAUAACAUAGAGGACCCGAAAGAGUUUGCUAACAAAAAUGGUCUGAGCAUUCCCAUGGUAGAUCAGAUGAACAAGGAAAGUUCUAAAGAGGAGAUGGAAGGAGUGACUGGUUUAGAAAAACUUCAGGUGGAAGAUGGCACCCAGAAACGAGGCCUACAGAACAAACAGCGUCUGCGCGCGAUCUUGUCGUCACUGGUGGGAAUUGGUGUCUUUCGCCAAAGAAGUCGACGAGGGAUGUUGGUGCCUUGA
This 3348-nucleotide ribosomal RNA is filed under the name Triticum aestivum (bread wheat). RNAcentral describes it as "partial small subunit ribosomal RNA". Lineage: Eukaryota; Viridiplantae; Streptophyta; Magnoliopsida; Poales; Poaceae. The record is from RNAcentral.